Small nuclear RNA from Lycium barbarum (goji berry), 107 nucleotides. The record is from RefSeq and is a predicted model, not a curated record. Lineage: Eukaryota; Viridiplantae; Streptophyta; Magnoliopsida; Solanales; Solanaceae.
CUACUUAUGAAUUGUUGUUCCCACAAAGGCGGAACGAUACGAAGAAGAUUAGCAUGCCCCCUGCGAAAGGAUGACAAGCACAAAUCAGAGAAAUGCUUUAAAUUAUU